CGCGGUGUAGCUCAGCCAGGUAGACGCAGCAGGUUCAUACCCUGAUGGUCGUCGGAUCGAAGCCGGCCGCCGCAACCA
This 78-nucleotide transfer RNA is filed under the name Variovorax sp. PDNC026. RNAcentral describes it as "tRNA-Met". Lineage: Bacteria; Pseudomonadati; Pseudomonadota; Betaproteobacteria; Burkholderiales; Comamonadaceae. The record is from RNAcentral.